Camelus dromedarius (Arabian camel) is the source of this 316-nucleotide long non-coding RNA. RefSeq lists it as uncharacterized. The transcript is spliced from 3 exons. The record is from RefSeq and is a predicted model, not a curated record. NCBI's taxonomy places the organism in Eukaryota, Metazoa, Chordata, Mammalia, Artiodactyla, Camelidae.
UAACCACACUCCAGGGCACCGCCCACCCACGUGUUUCACAGGUGAGCUCCUUCCCACCAGCGCUUCCCCGGACCGGGAAAAACCCAGUACCGCGUCUCGCGCGCUGGCGGAGUCACAGGUAAAGCGAGAUCUAUAUCUAAGGACUGUAUCAUCCUGGGCUGCACUGGCUUCCUCACUUCCAGUUGAGUUUGUCCAAUUAAAGUCACAGGAAAGAGACUGGAAGAUGGGAUGAAAGAGAAGUCCAGCUGCUCCAGGAAGCCAGCAUUUGGACAUAUGGAAGGCCUUGCAUUUUUCACCAAAGAAAAAGCACUGGUAA